RNAcentral lists this long non-coding RNA (1179 nucleotides) under Piliocolobus tephrosceles (Ugandan red Colobus). RNAcentral describes it as "lncRNA (ENSPTEG00000007329.1)". Lineage: Eukaryota; Metazoa; Chordata; Mammalia; Primates; Cercopithecidae. The record is from RNAcentral.
GAAACUGUAAAAUAAAUGACAAAGAAUUAAGUAAAAUAAUCGAUGAAGAACAAUACAAAACUAAUCAUAUACCAACCACUGCGGUGGGUGAUAUAUCAACCAGUGCAGUUACUGAAAAAAUGUUAAAACAAUUAAAAACCGAUUUAAAUACAACUCAAACGAGUAAAAAAUGUAAAUUUAUUGAUAAUGGUGAAGUUAAUAUUUUAGACGGAGUAAGUAACACGAAUGAAAUUAUUAAAAAUAAAGAUACUGGAGAAAUUGAUAAAACAAACGAAACAAACGAAACAAACGAAACACGCGAAACAAACGAAACACGCGAAACAAACAAAACACACGAAACGUACGAGACAAACAAAACACACGAAAGAAAUGAAACACACGAAACGUACGAGACAAAUUAUAGUAAUAAAUUUAACUGUUAUAAUAAUACAAACGAAGAUAAUGAUAAAAAUGAAGAGAAUGAUAGUAUACAUAAUACAAGUAAUGACAAACAAAUGAAAUUUGAAAAUAUAGAAAAUUGUAAUAAAUUAAAAAAAGAAAUGGAUAAUAUUGUAUAUUAUAAUGCAAGUAUGUAUUAUUCAUUAAAUGAAAUAUUAAGUAGAAAAGUAGACAUGCAAAAAAAUACAAAAACUUUAUUAGGUAAAAUUAAUGUUGUUUUAAACUCUAUUAUGUUUCUGACUGUUAUAUAUAAAAUUAUUAUGUCAAUUUUAAAUAUUAUUUUUAUAAGAAUAUAUACAAGAGAUCCUUUUUCAAAACUUAUUGAAAAGAUAUGUACAUUUUUUAAUAUAAAAUAUAAUAUAGCUAUUAUAUAUGCACCAUAUAUAUCAGUUAUAUAUAUUUCCUACAUCGUAGCAAUAAACAUGAAAAGAUUUUUACAACAUGUUAUUCAAAUUUCUACUUAUUUUUCAUUUUACUCCAAAUUAUUUUCAAAUAUAUGGAUAUUUAUUAUAUCUGAAUUGAUGGGUCUUUAUUUUGUAACGAACUCUUUAAUCUUAUCUUCUUAUUUACCCAUGAAUUAUAAUAAUAUUAUGAAUUUUGCAACAGCAAAUUAUUAUGAUUAUAAUAUAUUCCAUUUACAUUCAGAUUAUGUUUUUAUUGUGUCUUUAUUCACAACUUUAAUUUUUUAUUUCUUAUAUAUGAUUUAUUUUUAUGUAUUUUGAACUUUAAUCAACUUAUAUA